UUGAAUAAAUCCAGAACGAUUCUGAACCGUCCGAUCCACCUUUUUUAUUCUUCUUUUUUUUUCUCUGUUUUUGUAUUUGCACCACGUGGCGCAUGCUGAGUGGUUCAACGUUUGAGCUCCCUAUUGGGCCCAGAUUGCUAGCGUUACCUCCCAUUUUCUGCUUUAUGUCUUUUAUUUUUAUUUCUUUUAUUUAUUCAAGGUGGGCCUUGGGCCAUUCUUUUUGUUUUUUUAUUUAUUUCUUUUGCUUGAUUCUUCUCUCCCUUACUACUUUCACCUCCACUUUUU
RNAcentral lists this long non-coding RNA (285 nucleotides) under Lathyrus oleraceus (garden pea). Its description in RNAcentral is "Pisum sativum (pea) long non-coding RNA (PSAT_LNC008481)". Lineage: Eukaryota; Viridiplantae; Streptophyta; Magnoliopsida; Fabales; Fabaceae. The record is from RNAcentral.